GUGGGGAAUUUUGGACAAUGGGGGCAACCCUGAUCCAGCCAUGCCGCGUGAGUGAAGAAGGCCUUCGGGUUGUAAAGCUCUUUCGGCCGGGAAAAAAUCGCAUCAGUUAAUACCUGGUGUGGAUGAUGGUACCGGAAUAAGAAGCACCGGCUAACUACGUGCCAGCAGCCGCGGUAAUACGUAGGGUGCGAGCGUUAAUCGGAAUUACUGGGCGUAAAGCGUGCGCAGGCGGUUUGAUAAGACAGGCGUGAAAUCCCCGGGCUCAACCUGGGAACUGCGUUUGUGACUGUCUCACUAGAGUACGGCAGAGGGGGGUGGAAUUCCACGUGUAGCAGUGAAAUGCGUAGAGAUGUGGAGGAACACCAAUGGCGAAGGCAGCCCCCUGGGUCGAUACUGACGCUCAUGCACGAAAGCGUGGGUAGCAAACAGGAUUAGAUACCCCUGUAGUCC
RNAcentral lists this ribosomal RNA (450 nucleotides) under uncultured Thauera sp. Its description in RNAcentral is "bacterial SSU rRNA". It matches the Rfam family "Bacterial small subunit ribosomal RNA", at positions 354 to 796 of the family's 1533-position model. Lineage: Bacteria; Pseudomonadati; Pseudomonadota; Betaproteobacteria; Rhodocyclales; Zoogloeaceae. The record is from RNAcentral.